CGGUUGUUCGCCUUUGCAUGUGAGAUAGCCUUAUGCGCUGUGGUGGAACUGUCACCGGUGGUUUGACAGCUGGGGUUAUGUUGCCCAUGGUCUGUCUGGGUUGUUCCAGUAUGCAGGUUUCGUCAUUAUAAGGGUAUCUUUUGAUUGUCAUCGAAGCAUUGGUGUGUUCAGGUGUUUGCUUCUUUUUCCAGUUGAAUUGGAAUUGGAAGAAUUGGGUCGUCUACUAUGACAAGUACAAUAAUUAUUUCGUGGUAUUAUUUAAGCAUUAAGAUUUAUAGCUUCUCUGAUUGGAUUGUAAUA
This is a long non-coding RNA of Fopius arisanus, 300 nucleotides long. RefSeq lists it as uncharacterized. Lineage: Eukaryota; Metazoa; Arthropoda; Insecta; Hymenoptera; Braconidae. The transcript is spliced from 4 exons. The record is from RefSeq and is a predicted model, not a curated record.